This 72-nucleotide transfer RNA is filed under the name Heteromycteris japonicus. Its description in RNAcentral is "tRNA-Thr". It matches the Rfam family "tRNA". Rfam says of the family: Transfer RNA (tRNA) molecules are approximately 80 nucleotides in length. The record is from RNAcentral. Lineage: Eukaryota; Metazoa; Chordata; Actinopteri; Pleuronectiformes; Soleidae.
GCAGCAGUAGCUCAGAGAAAGAGCACCGGUCUUGUAAACCGGCCGCCGGAGGUUAAAUUCCACCCUGCCGCU